CGUACUUGAAACCCGGCAAGACCGUUAAAAGCAUCGAAUCGUUGUCACAUCUCAUAUACGUCGGCAAUAAUAAUUGAUUCAUCGACGAUUUUACACACACAUUACACAUUAUGAGUAUCAUUGAUUUGCAAAGUACUGGAGAUGAAGGAUUGCUAACUGCAGACAGAAACAUAAAUAAAACAUGAUUAUGGACGAAGAAUAUUAAUGUACACUCAACGGAUGUUAUAGCAAUUAUACCGUAGUUGUAGAAGUUACUGCAAGAAUGAGACCAAGAUUAAUCCGAAAAUUAAAAGAGAAAAACAAAUUUCAACUCGAAAACGAAUAAAACAAUGAUACAAUUCUAAAUUGAUUAUAAUAUAGGUGUAGUACAUAUACCUAUGUUAUAUUGAAAAUCAGUGUAGGACAAAAUGGCCGCCAAUGCGUCGACCGUGUACAUGGGUUGUUAGACUCGUGCACGAAUCACCUAGCCUUCGUUCUUCGAAUCAGAGUCAUUAAUUGUAGAUACUCCACAUGCUUGUACCAAUUCGUACCGUCAAGUUUAUGGUUUUUACCUAACGAUAUAAAAAGUUACAAAAGUGUUGGUUUGUGGAACAGGAUAUAUGCCAGUGCGCAGAGGGUGAUAAGAAUAAUAUGGAACAUGUAUUGGCGUCUCGUGUAAUUUAUGUAAGAUCACUACUAUUCUACAGACCACUGCAACAAAAAUUUUAUAUAAUACAUUGAUUGGACUCCAAUACCAUAAGUUAAACUCUGUUAGAAAAUAAAUGUUAAGUGGACAGUAAGAAACUGCUCUGGCGUACAAUAGAUUCUGAAUGCAGCGGCGAUGAUAAGCGAAAGCGAACCGAAAGUAUCAAGUUGUUUACAGUUCGGCUCAUUAUCGAUUAGAAAGCUGACACCGCCAACAGUAAGCGGCAGUGUUUUAAAGUUCGAUUAUUUUUCCGAUGGUUUUUUUGUUUUUUUUUUUUUUUGGAAAUAUUAUAUAUUAUCGAAAUUCGAAAACUUUUUUUACAACGGUACAGAAUGGAUUGCUUCUUACUUGAAACAAAUUGAUUUAAGAUUUAAAAUCACUUUUUAUUAUUUAAUUUUUAUCUUACAGUUCGUUAAAAACAAUGCCUUGUUAUUAAGAUAGUAUUAAUAUUUUUUCUCUGCGUUCUGGUUUAGUAGUAAAACGUAUUAUCCAUUAUGUUUUUAAUCUAUACAUAUUUUCGAUAUUUUUGUUUUAUACAUAUUUAUUUGGCGCAUGUAUAUUAUGAUAAUUUAAGUAUCCAAGUAACGAUCGAAAAAUACACUUAUUGUAAUGAUAUUAUACAUUAUACAUGUAUAGUCAGUGAUCUGAUCUCUAAUAGAUUUAAAACUAAAAAGUUUAUAAUAAUAUGUACAUAAAAAUACAACUUAUCGCUACUUGAGCAAGUUUCAAAGUGUAUAACUUUAAGCAAAAAAUCUAAAAAUAAUGAUGUUUCGUUUUAUAAUAAAAUGUACAACUGUAAAACAAAAGUGCCAUUUAAGUCCAAAGUUAACACAUAUAAUUGAUAGGAUGAUCAUUAAUAUCUUUUUCUUAAAUAUUUUUCAGUAAUCAAAUUAAAGUAUUUCAAUAUAGUUCCUUUUGGUUUUAGCUAAUUUGUUUGAAUAAAACAGUAGUUUAACGUAAUCUGUUAACGCACCUCGUUCAGUUCAUUUAACUUGGAAAUAAGAUAAACACGAUAAUUAUUAUUAUAAUGAUGCUUGUUAAUUGUUAAGUGAAUUAAUAAUUUUUAAUUACUUGAAAUGUUUUACUAUCACGAAUCUUAAUCUUAAAAGAGACUCAUUUUUUGUUUUAACUUAAAAAUUCGGAAAACAUUUUGUUAAAUUGGAUUUAUCUGGGACUGUAUUUUUAUUUGGAAAUAUAAUUUGAAAGGAAAGUACUAGUAUUUACUUAAAAAGUAUGAAUUUGUAAAUUAAACCGUUUGUAAAUAUUAUUUUGAGUUUGUAUUUAUUUAAAACAAAUUUUGUCGGAAUAGGAUUAGCUCGAAAACAUAUGGUUGGAAAAGUAUUUGUUCGGAAAGGUAUAAUACCGUAACCUAAUAUUAUACAUGAAAGUAAAUUUCUGAACAACUAGGAUUUCGAUAAAAUUAAUUUUUAGUUUAUUACAGUGUCACAUUGAUAUCAUCCUAUAAUCACAUAAUGUACAAGAAGUCAUAUCCCAUCUAAUAAGAUUGUUGA
Molecule: long non-coding RNA, 2196 nt
Organism: Aphis gossypii (cotton aphid)
Lineage: Eukaryota; Metazoa; Arthropoda; Insecta; Hemiptera; Aphididae
Exons: 6
Source: RefSeq, a predicted model, not a curated record